UACGGAGGGUGCAAGCAUUAAUCGGAAUUAUUGGGCGUAAAGGGCGCGUAGGCGGGUUUGCAAGUCAGAUGUGAAGUACCAAAGCUCAACUUUGGUGCUGCAUUUGAAACUGCAAGUCUUGAGGAAUGGCGGAGAAAACGGAAUUCCACGUGUAGCGGUGAAAUGCGUAGAUAUGUGGAAGAACACCGGUGGCGAAAGCGGUUUUCUAGCUAUUUCCUGACGCUGAGGCGCGAGAGCAAGGGGAGCAAACAGG
RNAcentral lists this ribosomal RNA (253 nucleotides) under uncultured bacterium. RNAcentral describes it as "partial 16S ribosomal RNA". It matches the Rfam family "Bacterial small subunit ribosomal RNA", at positions 524 to 776 of the family's 1533-position model. The record is from RNAcentral.